CUACGGGCGGCACCAGUGGGGAAUAUUGCACAAUGGGGGAAACCCUGAUGCAGCAACGCCGCGUGGAGGAUGACACAUUUCGGUGCGUAAACUCCUUUUAUAUGAGAAGAUAAUGACGGUAUCAUAUGAAUAAGCUCCGGCUAACUCCGUGCCAGCAGCCGCGGUAAUAAGGGGGGAGCAAGCGUUACUCGGAAUUACUGGGCGUAAAGCGCAUGUAGGCGGAUAGAAGAGUCAGAAGUGAAAUCCUAUAGCUUAACUAUAGAACUGCUUCUGAAACUCGCUAUCUAGAAUGUGGGAGAGGUAGAUGGAAUUUCUGGUGUAGGGGUAAAAUCCGUAGAGAUCAGAAGGAAUACCGAUUGCGAAGGCGAUCUACUGGAACAAUAUUGACGCUGAGAUGCGAAAGCGUGGGGAGCAAACAGGAUUAGAUACCCGCGUAGUC
RNAcentral lists this ribosomal RNA (439 nucleotides) under uncultured bacterium. RNAcentral describes it as "partial 16S ribosomal RNA". It matches the Rfam family "Bacterial small subunit ribosomal RNA", at positions 339 to 795 of the family's 1533-position model. The record is from RNAcentral.